RNAcentral lists this ribosomal RNA (287 nucleotides) under Escherichia coli. Its description in RNAcentral is "partial 16S ribosomal RNA". It matches the Rfam family "Bacterial small subunit ribosomal RNA", at positions 1 to 284 of the family's 1533-position model. Lineage: Bacteria; Pseudomonadati; Pseudomonadota; Gammaproteobacteria; Enterobacterales; Enterobacteriaceae. The record is from RNAcentral. RNAcentral also lists the same sequence under 1 other name.
AAAUUGAAGAGUUUGAUCAUGGCUCAGAUUGAACGCUGGCGGCAGGCCUAACACAUGCAAGUCGAACGGUAACAGGAAGCAGCUUGCUGCUUUGCUGACGAGUGGCGGACGGGUGAGUAAUGUCUGGGAAACUGCCUGAUGGAGGGGGAUAACUACUGGAAACGGUAGCUAAUACCGCAUAACGUCGCAAGACCAAAGAGGGGGACCUUAGGGCCUCUUGCCAUCGGAUGUGCCCAGAUGGGAUUAGCUAGUAGGUGGGGUAACGGCUCACCUAGGCGACGAUCCCU